GUGGCUGGUUACAGUACUGUGAGACUCAGGCUCGUGCCCGCGUCGACCGAAAGCUUUGUUUACUUUCCUCAGUUUAGCUAAAAGGAGAUUCCUGGUCGGAAUAUUAUCGCUUUUUUACGAGAAAAAUGGCAUAAAAAUUGAUUUUAAACAGCGGUUGACAUGCUUCGAAGUACGGUAAUGGAAUAUUUAGAUUUUUUUUGUCACGGAUUGCGCCAUGCGCACGACCCUUAUUUACCAUUUCAGAUAGUGUCUGGGACGCACGAACAAAACGCCGCUAUUCGGAUAUAACGAUGGAUUAUUUUGGACCAAACCAACAUUUGUUAUUGAAGUAGCAGUCCUGGGAGUGCAUUCUGACGAAGACAACAAAAGCUGUCCUUCCUCUCUCUCCUUGGCUGCUAAGUGUGUGACUGUGAGUGAGUUGGCUCGGCCCUCCCUCACGCAUCUUUGGUUCAUUGGUUGACACUGCGUGUCUGAUUGACAGGAACAACAGGUGUUCAGGAGAGUGGGAGUGAACCACAACAGAGCUCCAGCAUGGCUCUUCCUCCAAGGACUUCAUCCACACGUCUCCACAACUAACCUCCACCUCCAGAUGCUCAGCAGCAUCAGAUAUGGCUGCUCCAUCACCAACUGAAGAGCCACAUAGUGUGUGACACUCACUGGCAAAACACUAGCCAUCACAGAGGAUCAUGACGAGGAAAGCCCACAACAGAAGAGUUCUGACACCACUGUGCGCAGAGAUGA
Molecule: long non-coding RNA, 741 nt
Filed under: Salmo salar (Atlantic salmon)
Lineage: Eukaryota; Metazoa; Chordata; Actinopteri; Salmoniformes; Salmonidae
Description: lncRNA (ENSSSAG00000100749.1)
Source: RNAcentral